This is a long non-coding RNA of Chelonia mydas (Green sea turtle), 348 nucleotides long. RefSeq lists it as uncharacterized. The transcript is spliced from 2 exons. Lineage: Eukaryota; Metazoa; Chordata; Testudines; Cheloniidae. The record is from RefSeq and is a predicted model, not a curated record.
CUAUAAACCAUCCUGCACAAGCCUCUGAUAUUACAAAAAGAAAAAAGAUUUCAACUCUUUGGAAUUCCACAGGAAGUGCAAAAUCCAAGCUCCACCCCGCUUCACCCAGAAGCUCCCUCAGAGAACCAUGUCUGGCUCGUCUGUUUUGACUGAGAACAACAACAAGAGGAUGUUAAGCAGUCAGGACUGAUCAUGAGAGAAGCUCAACGUCUGUAGCUAGGAUUGACAGGAAAUUGUGGCUCAUGGAAAAGUGAAUUUUCAGUGGAAAGAACAUUUUCACUGAAAGUGUUUGUUUCCCUUGCACAUUUUCGAUUUUCCACGAGAAAACAAAAAAAACAAACAAACUUU